This 21-nucleotide non-coding RNA is filed under the name Arabidopsis thaliana (thale cress). Lineage: Eukaryota; Viridiplantae; Streptophyta; Magnoliopsida; Brassicales; Brassicaceae. The record is from RNAcentral.
AUUUGCACUCGUUUGGUUUGA